CAGCGAGUUCGCGAGCGUGUGCGGUGCCCCGCGGCCGGGCUGCGGCGCGGCGCCUCGCCGCGAGUCCGCUGCUCCGGCACCGGUGGGCUCUGAGGCUCGGUCGGUGCUGGCGGCGGAGGGCAAUCCCACCUGCCGUUCCCGUCCCCGUCCCCGUCCCCUGGUAGCGGAGGAGUGGUCGUGGUGGUGGGCGGCUGAGCUGGCUCCGUGCGGGUGCCUCCUGGGUUCCGUUAGGCUCACGAGCAGCCCCGCAGCUCGCCUCAGAGCCCCCCACGCCCCGAUACAGAUGAAGGAUUUUCCCGAGAUCACUGUGAGCAGAGAUGUAUUGGAGAGUGGGAAAUUGUUCAAGUCCUACCAGAUCAUCCCAGAAUGCUAGCAGGUCUUUGUCAGUCCCGGGACAAGGAAGCAUGAGCUGAACAAGCUUAUAUUCCCCGGACAUAACAGGCACACAUGGGAUCUAAUGUCUUGGCAAUAGGCAGUCUGACGGUACAUGGAAGGCUUAGGAUAUCUGCAUCGCCUCUGAGGUUGGCUCUCUCAAUCAAGAAACAAGUCGACAGAACAAAUGGUGGCAUUUACUUAGCCAUAUUCCCAGCUACACUGUUUGUAGCCUAAUUAUAUUUUCAGUAAUAGAAGGAUACAUUUAAGCGCUCAUUUUAAUUACGGAUCUUCUAUAUCUGAGAUCAUGUCUUCCUCUUGAAAUAAAACUGGCAUUGGCAGGAAAUUUUAUCACUUAAGAUUAGUCGUGUUGGAUGGACCAUUUCACGGUGUGCUAUUAGACAGUUUUGAAAGCUAAAGCUAUAUUUAAAAAUGGAUUUUUUUCAACACAGAUGUGGAAUGAAGACUGGUGUUUCUACAACUUAAUAGUAUGACCAGUGAAAUGCAAGUGAACCAUAGUCCUAAUCAUGUUUGUAUCCCAUGCAGGAAUAAACAUACAUUUUUAAACACA
This is a long non-coding RNA of Numida meleagris (helmeted guineafowl), 943 nucleotides long. RefSeq lists it as uncharacterized. The record is from RefSeq and is a predicted model, not a curated record. The transcript has 3 exons. NCBI's taxonomy places the organism in Eukaryota, Metazoa, Chordata, Aves, Galliformes, Numididae.